This 497-nucleotide ribosomal RNA is filed under the name uncultured bacterium. Its description in RNAcentral is "partial 16S ribosomal RNA". It matches the Rfam family "Bacterial small subunit ribosomal RNA", at positions 28 to 507 of the family's 1533-position model. The record is from RNAcentral.
GACGAACGCUGGCGGCGUGCCUAAUACAUGCAAGUAGAACGCUGAAGAGAGGAGCUUGCUCUUCUUGGAUGAGUUGCGAACGGGUGAGUAACGCGUAGGUAACCUGCCUUGUAGCGGGGGAUAACUAUUGGAAACGAUAGCUAAUACCGCAUAACAAUGGAUGACACAUGUCAUUUAUUUGAAAGGGGCAAUUGUUCCACUACAAGAUGGACCUGCGUUGUAUUAGCUAGUAGGUGAGGUAAUGGCUCACCUAGGCGACGAUACAUAGCCGACCUGGGAGGGUGAUCGGCCACACUGGGACUGGGACACGGCCCAGGCUCCUACGGGAGGCAGCAGUAGGGAAUCUUCGGCAAUGGGGGCAACCCUGACCGAGCAACGCCGCGUGAGUGAAGAAGGUUUUCGGACCGUAAAGCUCUGUUGUAAGUCAAGAACGGGUGUGAGAGUGGAAAGUUCACACUGUGACGGUAGCUUACCAGAAAGGGACGGCUAACUACGUG